Molecule: long non-coding RNA, 1070 nt
Filed under: Fragaria vesca (wild strawberry)
Lineage: Eukaryota; Viridiplantae; Streptophyta; Magnoliopsida; Rosales; Rosaceae
Description: long non-coding RNA (FVES_LNC004399)
Source: RNAcentral
UGAUUUGACUUAUCCGCUUAAGUGAGAAAAGGAAGUUGAUUUAGCUUGAACCUUGAGCCAUAGAAGAGGACCUUUCAGAAGGACGACUGGCUUUAGCCCGAAUUAACCGAGAGUCAACCUAUUUAACCUAUUUAAAGGGGGAUUCUCCAUUUACUGUAUCGUAUCCUUUCUUGUGGUGAUGGAAAUAUAUAUGUAAGAUUGUUGUAGAAGUUUCCAGCCUCACAGGCUUUAGAUUGGACUAUGGAACCGAGCGAAGACCUUUGAGAUGGAUAUACCCCCGGGGAGAGUCCACUUAUGAAAUGGAUCCGGAUUAACCGCUUUCGACUGAGAUGUAACCUUCGCCUUUGCUUUGGUAUUCUAUGCGGCUUUCUCCAACUCUAAUCUCAGGUUUUCUUCUCUAUGAACUCUAUAGAUUGAUUGAUCCACAAAGAGUAUUGUACCUACUUCAGUAUAAGUUUCUCCUUAACCCUAUGGCACUUCGUUGCUUGCCUCCAGUGAGCUACCUUAAUUUUAAUAGAAAGGGAUCUUAUUCUUCCUUUUUCAGUGUGUGUACACGCUUAGAAAGACGGAAAAGAUGAACUCAGACUAAUAAAAAGGAAACGGAAACUUAUCUUCUGUCCCGUGCGUGCAAUUUCCCUUCCUGGUGCAACCUAGACCACAGGAGGCUACCAGCCCCUUCCUAAGGAUCUGAUCUAUCUCGUGGGACUCACUCCGGAAGUAUAAACAUUGAAGCGGUAAGGCUCUCAAAUGCGAGCAAACCCGAGAAAACAAACACAUACUAGUUCAACUAUGAGGACUUCGAAAGAGUACGUACUACGGGUCAGUACUAAAGGCUUCGUUAGCUAGUUCUCCUUUGUAAACCCACCGUAUCAACACCAGAACAUAUUCGAAGCUAUUCUGAAUGUCGCCACCGGACUAAUUGACCGCCCUAUCCUAUUAUCAUUCCUAUGAUUAGAUCGCCCACGGGCUAAAACCUUCGCCAUCGCCCUAGACUGCUAACAAAGAUUCUAACCCUACAGGAUCCUACCCUUCUACUAAACCUGACUUCCCGCUUAAGAAGUACUCGAUUC